This 1489-nucleotide ribosomal RNA is filed under the name uncultured Bordetella sp. RNAcentral describes it as "partial 16S-23S ribosomal RNA intergenic spacer". It matches the Rfam family "Bacterial small subunit ribosomal RNA". Lineage: Bacteria; Pseudomonadati; Pseudomonadota; Betaproteobacteria; Burkholderiales; Alcaligenaceae. The record is from RNAcentral.
GGUUUGAUCCGGCUCAGAUUGAACGCUGGCGGGAUGCUUUACACAUGCAAGUCGAAUGGCAGCAGCACUGUGACUUCGCCGCCGGUUCAGGCGAGUGGCGAACGGGUGAGUAAUGUGGUUCGGAACGUGCCUAGUAGCGGGGGAUAACGAUACGAAAGCGUAGCUAAUACCGCAUACGCCCUUCGGGGAAAGCGGGGGGAUCUCUGGCCUCGCACUUAGCGAGCGGCCGAUAUCGGAUUAGCUAGUUGGUGGGCACGGUUCACCAAGGCGACGAUCCGUAGCUGGUUUGAGAGGACGACCAGCCACACUGGGACUGAGACACGGCCCAGACUCCUGGGCUUUUGAGGCAGUGGGGGAAUUUUGACAAUGGGGAAACUCAUCCAGCCAUCCGCGGGUGCGGAUGAAGGCCUCGGGUUGUAAAGCACUUUUGGCAGUGAGAAAGAAACGGCACGGGAUAAUGCCCUGCAACUGACGGUACCCGCAGAAUAAGCACCGGCUAAUCCAUGCCAGCAGCCGCGGUAAUAUGUGGCAAGCGUUAAUCGGAAUUACUGGGCGUAAGUGCCGUGCAGGCGGUUCGAAAGAAAGAUGAAAUCCCAGAGCUUAACUUUGAACUGCAUUUUUAAAUUUACCGUGAGCUGAGUGUCGAGGGAGGUGGAAUUCGGCGUAGCAGUGAAAUGCGUAGAUAUGCGGAGGAAUGUCUGACGGCGAAGGCAGCCUCCCGGGAGGAGCCACUGACGUCUGUUCGAAAGCGUGGGGAGCAAACAGGAUUAGAUACACCCUGCGUAGUCCACGCCUCUAAACGAUGUCAACUAGCUGGUUGGGGCCUUCGGGCUCCUCGGUAGCGCAGCUAAUGCGGAAGUUGACCGCCUGGGGAGUACGGUCGCAAGAUUGGAACCUGUGCGCCGAACGAUGGGACCGCACAAGCGGUGGAUGAUGUGGAUUAAUUCGAUGCAACGCGAAAAACCUUACCUACCCUUGACAUGUCUGGAAUCCCGAAGAGAUUUGGGAGUGUUUUCUGCAGAGGAACCGGAACACAGGUGCUGCAUGGCUGUCGUCAGCUCGUGUCGUGAGAUGUUGGGUUAAGUCCCGCAACGAGCGCAACCCUUUGUCAUUAGUUGCUACGAAAGGGCACUCUAAUGAGACUGCCGGUGACAAACUGGAGAGCGUGGGAUGACGUCAAGUCCUCAUGGCCCUUAUGGGUAGGGUCGGCACGUCAGUGCAAUGGUCGGGACAGAGGGUCGCCAACCCGCGAGGGGAGCCAACCAGAAACCCGAUCAGUCCGGAUCGCGGAACUGCAACUCGACUGCGCAGAAGUCGGAAUCUGCUAGUAAUCGCGGAUCAGCAUGUCGCGGGUGGAAUACGUCUCGGUCUGUACACACCGCCGGGUCACACCUCAUGGUGGGAGUGGGUUUUACCAGAAGUAGUUAGCCUAACCGUGCGAGGCGACUACCACGGUAGGAUUCACGACUAGGUAGUCGUAACAAGGUAA